GACGAACGCUGGCGGCGUGCCUAAUACAUGCAAGUCGAGCGGACCAACCAGGAGCUUGCUCUUGUUUGGUUAGCGGCGGACGGGUGAGUAACACGUGGGUAACCUGCCCGUAAGACCGGGAUAACUCCGGGAAACCGGAGCUAAUACCGGAUAACACCGAAGACCGCAUGGUCUUUGGUUGAAAGGCGGCUUCGGCUGCCACUUACGGAUGGGCCCGCGGCGCAUUAGCUAGUUGGUGAGGUAACGGCUCACCAAGGCGACGAUGCGUAGCCGGCCUGAGAGGGUGGCCGGCCACACUGGGACUGAGACACGGCCCAGACUCCUACGGGAGGCAGCAGUAGGGCAUCUUCCGCAAUGGGCGAAAGUCUGACGGAGCGACGCCGCGUGAGCGAAGAAGGUCUUCGGAUCGUAAAGCUCGGUUGUUAGGGAAGAAGAAGCGCCGUUCGAACAGGGCGGCGCGGUGACGGUACCUAACGAGAAAGCCCCGGCUAACUACGUG
Molecule: ribosomal RNA, 499 nt
Filed under: uncultured bacterium
Lineage: Bacteria
Description: partial 16S ribosomal RNA
Rfam family: Bacterial small subunit ribosomal RNA
Source: RNAcentral